AAUCUGAGCCCAAAGAUGGCAUGCUUCCUUCCUGUGCCCUGUCCCCUGGCAACAGAAACCCUGCAUGGUUCUGAAAAGAGGACAUGAGCCUGGGAAACUCUUUUUAGGAGAGCGGACGGGAGGCUCAAAGCACAGCGGGAACGGAAUGUGCAAAACGGAGGAUUCCCGCUCCAUGACCGGAUGCUACGUGCUCCCACUACACUGAUGCAAAUUACCUUCCUGUCCGGUGACUAACCGUGCCUAAYAGUAGCCAUUAUUCUUUUCCACUCUGCAUGUUUGGAACAGGCAACAAACAGGUGCAGCAGCUCCAUGAAAGGGYACCAGUGGUAGAGCAAGUGGACCACCAACAUUUACUACAGUCCUUGACGCACCUGUCACAAGUUGCAUUUCCGGCCCUGGGCCAUUUACUGCAUGUUAUCCCCUUCUCUCUUUCUCUCGCUGCUUCCUGUCAAGCUACUAUUGAAUAAAGGCCACUAGGUACAAACUUUCAAAAAUUCCUUUCUAUAAAUGUUUUUUCUUUCAUAAUAUCAAGUCUUUCUCUCUUCACAUCUUCAUAAAGAACAUUGUUUUAUGAAGAAAAGUACUGAAAAUCAUUUGCAAAUUAUUCGUGCRACAUUCCUGGGAGUGUGGGCAUGCAUUAUAAACUCUUUAUGUGCUUUUAAAUAUGCUGCAGAAACUUAAAAUUGCUUUAUGACACAUGCCAGAGAAUGAUUCUGAAUCCAUCACAGCCUUUACUGGUUUUUACAACCAUUCUCUAGUAUUUACUUAGGAUUGAUGAUUAUCCACAUAACAGUUAAAGCAAAAUCAAGGAAUCUGCUGGAUCAGCUGAAGGAUUAGGAAUAAACUUCAACUGAGCAGCUGCAGCAUUAGCUUCUCAGACCUUAUAUUUUUUUCCAAACUCACAGUUUGCAUUGACACCACAGUGUCCUGUCAAAGUAUACAGCAGUAUUGAAUUCAAACUUUUUCACAUUUUGUUUCUUARCCAUGAUCAUUAGUGUGUUUCACUGGGAUUCUGCAUGACUGAUUAAUAAAAUGUAGUCCAUAAUAGCACAAGUUUUGCAAUAGAUCAUCAACUGAAUUUUUGUCUGGUCCCAUUCUAAUGCUAAAUGAUCUAAACUAUACCAUUUUUUCUCUUGUUGCACAGUUAGGSUCAACGCUUGUCWAACAYUCCAAUUAUGGGCUGAAACAAACACAAAAGAUGGAUGAAUUCAUUGGAAAGAAUGUGCUGAAGUAAAUUCAUCAUGCUAGAGCAAAGUGUUCAUCUAAAGCUGAGCCCUGCAAACACAGACAGAUCUGCACCUAAUGU
Molecule: non-coding RNA, 1306 nt
Organism: Poecilia reticulata (guppy)
Lineage: Eukaryota; Metazoa; Chordata; Actinopteri; Cyprinodontiformes; Poeciliidae
Source: RefSeq, a predicted model, not a curated record